RNAcentral lists this ribosomal RNA (324 nucleotides) under uncultured bacterium. RNAcentral's name for it is "bacterial SSU rRNA". It matches the Rfam family "Bacterial small subunit ribosomal RNA", at positions 18 to 344 of the family's 1533-position model. The record is from RNAcentral.
CAUGGCUCAGAUUGAACGCUAGCGGGAUGCCUUACACAUGCAAGUCGAACGGCAGCACGGACUUCGGUCUGGUGGCGAGUGGCGAACGGGUGAGUAAUGUAUCGGAACGUGCCUAGUAGCGGGGGAUAACUACGCGAAAGCGUAGCUAAUACCGCAUACGCCCUACGGGGGAAAGCAGGGGAUCGCAAGACCUUGCACUAUUAGAGCGGCCGAUAUCGGAUUAGCUAGUUGGUGGGGUAACGGCUCACCAAGGCGACGAUCCGUAGCUGGUUUGAGAGGACGACCAGCCACACUGGGACUGAGACACGGCCCAGACUCCUACGG